AGGACGAACGCUGGCGGCGUGCCUAACACAUGCAAGUCGAGCGAGGAGAUUCCUCGGGAUGAUCCUAGCGGCGGACGGGUGAGUAACACGUGGGCAACCUGCCUCAUAGAGAGGAAUAGCCUUCCGAAAGGGAGAUUAAUACCUCAUAACAUUGCAGUUUCGCAUGGAACAGCAAUUAAAGGAGCAAUCCGCUAUGAGAUGGGGCCCGCGGCGCAUUAGCUAGUUGGUGAGGUAACGGCUCACCAAGGCGACGAUGCGUAGCCGACCUGAGAGGGUGAUCGGCCACAUUGGGACUGAGACACGGCCCAGACUCCUACGGGAGGCAGCAGUGGGGAAUAUUGCACAAUGGGGGAAACCCUGAUGCAGCAACGCCGCGUGAGUGAUGACGGCCUUCGGGUUGUAAAGCUCUGUCUUCAGGGACGAUAAUGACGGUACCUGAGGAGGAAGCCACGGCUAACUACGUGCCAGCAGCUGC
RNAcentral lists this ribosomal RNA (475 nucleotides) under uncultured bacterium. RNAcentral's name for it is "bacterial SSU rRNA". It matches the Rfam family "Bacterial small subunit ribosomal RNA", at positions 26 to 518 of the family's 1533-position model. The record is from RNAcentral.